GGCACUUCUUGUUGGAAAAAGCUGUGCAUCCCUUUACGCUUAAGAAAGCAAAUACAAUCUUUGAGGACAUGUUUUCAAAUUACUUAUGGAAAUGGAUGGUUUGUAUAGACACUUUGAUAUAUUUUGCGUUCUAGUGCAAUUCAUAGGAUUGAAGUCAUUGAUUUGUUUUUGUUUUGAUGGUUGUAUGAUGCAUAUCAUCUAUGGAAACCAUGUGAAGGAACCAUUUUGUAGAUUAUUUACAAAUUUUUAAGCAAAUCAAUGACUACCGAAGUGCACGUAUAAUUUUAAGUACAUGGGCUUCUUAGAUAAGCUAAUUAAUGGCAGCUAGAUCUUGAGGGGGAUAAUUUAACUUUGAUUAAUGACAAUAUGUGACUUAUUGCAAUCUGAUGAGUGAUGAUGAUCAAUAGUGGGUGAACUACUGAACUUCAUGUAUAUUUCAUUUGAAUACAGUCAGUGCUCAUUCUUUGUGUUUCUGACCAUCCAUAAUUUGCUUUUAUAAAUGAUCUACCUCUUUAGUUUGUAGAAAAUUGUUUUAUUGAAAUGAAGUUUAAUUGCUAAUUGUACUUUUUUUUUCUGGUAAUAACUCACUCUUGUAUAUUUUAAUGUUUAUUAUCUUUGUAGGAAAUUGCCAAACAGCUAUGCU
RNAcentral lists this unclassified non-coding RNA (643 nucleotides) under Hevea brasiliensis (rubber tree). The record is from RNAcentral. Lineage: Eukaryota; Viridiplantae; Streptophyta; Magnoliopsida; Malpighiales; Euphorbiaceae.